RNAcentral lists this transfer RNA (64 nucleotides) under Sakuraeolis japonica. RNAcentral's name for it is "tRNA-Glu". Lineage: Eukaryota; Metazoa; Mollusca; Gastropoda; Nudibranchia; Glaucidae. The record is from RNAcentral.
GUCUAGGUAGUAUAUUUAUUACACCGCCUUUUCGAGGCGGAGAAAAACAUCAGUUUUCUAGAUU